This 254-nucleotide ribosomal RNA is filed under the name uncultured bacterium. RNAcentral's name for it is "partial 16S ribosomal RNA". It matches the Rfam family "Bacterial small subunit ribosomal RNA", at positions 524 to 776 of the family's 1533-position model. The record is from RNAcentral.
CACGUAGGGGGCGAGCGUUGUCCGGAUUUAUUGGGCGUAAAGAGCUCGUAGGCGGUUUCGUAAGUCGGAUGUGAAAACUCCAGGCUCAACUUGGAGACGCCAUUCGAUACUGCGAUGACUUGAGUCCGGUAGGGGAGUGUGGAAUUCCUGGUGUAGCGGUGAAAUGCGCAGAUAUCGGGAAGAACACCCGUGGCGAAGGCGGCUUUCUGGGCCCUACCUGACGCUGAGACGCGAAAGCGUGGGGAGCGAACAGG